AGUGAACGCUGGCGGUAGGCCUAACACAUGCAAGUCGAACGGCAGCACAGUAAGAGCUUGCUCUUACGGGUGGCGAGUUGCGUACGGGUGAGGAAUACAUCGGAAUCUACUUUUUCGUGGGGGAUAACGUAGGGAAACUUACGCUAAUACCGCAUACGACCUACGGGUGAAAGCGGGGGAUCUUCGGACCUUGCGCGAUUGAAUGAGCCGAUUUCGGAUUAGCUAGUUGGCGGGGUAAAGGCCCACCAAGGCGACGAUCCGUAGCUGGUCUGAGAGGAUGAUCAGCCACACUGGAACUGAGACACGGUCCAGACUCCUACGGGAGGCAGCAGUGGGGAAUAUUGGACAAUGGGCGCAAGCCUGAUCCAGCCAUACCGCGUGGGUGAAGAAGGCCUUCGGGUUGUAAAGCCCUUUUGUUGGGAAAGAAAAGCAGCAGGUUAAUACCCCGCUGUUAUGACGGUACCCAAAGAAUAAGCACCGGCUAACUUCGUG
RNAcentral lists this ribosomal RNA (492 nucleotides) under uncultured bacterium. RNAcentral describes it as "partial 16S ribosomal RNA". It matches the Rfam family "Bacterial small subunit ribosomal RNA", at positions 29 to 507 of the family's 1533-position model. The record is from RNAcentral.